UACGUAGGUGGCGAGCGUUGUCCGGAUUUAUUGGGUUUAAAGGGUGCGUAGGCGGCUUUGUAAGUCAGUGGUGAAAUAUGUCAGCUCAACUGAGAGGGUGCCAUUGAUACUGCGGAGCUUGAGUACAGAUGAGGUAGGCGGAAUUGACGGUGUAGCGGUGAAAUGCUUAGAUAUCGUCAAGAACACCUAUAGCGAAGGCAGCUUACUAGGCUGUAACUGACGCUGAGGCACGAAAGUGUGGGGAUCAAACAGG
This 253-nucleotide ribosomal RNA is filed under the name uncultured bacterium. Its description in RNAcentral is "partial 16S ribosomal RNA". It matches the Rfam family "Bacterial small subunit ribosomal RNA", at positions 524 to 776 of the family's 1533-position model. The record is from RNAcentral.